This 400-nucleotide ribosomal RNA is filed under the name uncultured bacterium. Its description in RNAcentral is "bacterial SSU rRNA". It matches the Rfam family "Bacterial small subunit ribosomal RNA", at positions 357 to 774 of the family's 1533-position model. The record is from RNAcentral.
GGGAAUUUUGGGCAAUGGGCGAAAGCCUGACCCAGCAACGCCGCGUGAGGGAUGAAGUAUUUCGGUAUGUAAACCUCGAAAGAAUGGGAAGACUAAAUGACGGUACCAUUUAUAAGCUCCGGCUAACUACGUGCCAGCAGCCGCGGUAAUACGUAGGGAGCAAGCGUUGUUCGGAUUUACUGGGCGUAAAGGGCGCGUAGGCGGCGCGGUAAGUCACUUGUGUAAUCUCUGAGCUUAACUCAGAACGGCCAAGUGAUACUGCUGUGCUAGAGUGCGGAAGAGGCAACCGGAAUUCUUGGUGUAGCGGUGAAAUGCGUAGAUAUCAAGAGGAACACCUGAGGCGAAGGCGGGUUGCUGGGCCGACACUGACGCUGAUGCGCGAAAGCCAGGGGAGCAAACG